Molecule: long non-coding RNA, 1007 nt
Organism: Cervus elaphus (red deer)
Lineage: Eukaryota; Metazoa; Chordata; Mammalia; Artiodactyla; Cervidae
Exons: 3
Source: RefSeq, a predicted model, not a curated record
AUGGGUUUGAGUAGGUUCCAGGAGUUGGUGAUGGACAGGGAAGCCUGGCAUGCUGCAGUCCAUGGGGUUACAAAGAGUUGGAUAUGACUGAGCGACUGAACUAUAACUAACUAUAAAUUCUUGACUCAGAUGACUUAGUGAAUUACUGUUGGAGCUGUUAUUUUCAUACCAGGAAAUUUCCAGGAUAAUUAUGGAAACAUGAAAAAACAGCUUCCACUGCUAAGUAAAACCCAACUUCCGUUUUUCAGAAUUACAAGUUUUAUUGUAAAAAAUUUUAACCCAAUGAACAUAUUUGCUUUAGAUCUAUGAGUUAAGAUAGUUUCCAAACCUGAAGGCACAAGGGAGGAUAAAAGUAAAUGGAAAGGGACAUUAAGGAGUCAGUGGUCAUAGGAAAGAUAGCACACCGAACAGUGUCGUCAGUAAAUUACUAUAACCCCAGGACACUCACACCCUUGAAAAAAGCGCAUGGCAAAUAAUGCUUUUAUGGGUAUACUUAAUAAUUUUCUCCCAUGAUAAAAAUUAAAACCAAAGUGUUUCAUGGAGUCAUUCUGAGAUAAUCUUUGAAAUAUUAUCAAAAAGGAUCUGGUCUGUUUUAUACUUCAGGGGGGAAAAUGUUCACAUUUUAGAAUAGCAUUCUGUGAUUAUUUUUAAUGGGAAAAUAAAAUAUAGGUGACUUCUCCAGGGAUCAAUAUCCUCUUUUCUCCAUUCUUGGUGUUUUGCAGGCUGAUUAAUUUGCAGAGGUUGAGUUUGAUUGCCGCUGAAGUAGAAAGCAUUAUAGAUUCUCUGUUAUUCUUCAAGCCACUUGGCUAAAGUCUACGGUUCUGUCUCUAUGUAUUUAUCUACCUUUCCACAUGGCGCUUAGCACUGGAGCUUUGGGCCUCUCCUAAACAUAUUGUGAAAAGCUAUUGUCCUGAAUUCUCAAGUCUUGCUGUGAAUAGGUAACUACCCCCCCACCCCCACCCAAGAUAGCUGUUCUGUGAGGUAAAGGUAAAUGAGCCAGACAGAAA